CCGCUCCUGAGCCCGUGGUGGGGAUGGGCCCUGGGAGUCGGCUGCAUUUUUCUGCGAGGCGCCAUUUUGUGCGGGCACUGCCCCGUGACCCGCGUCGUGUGUCGCGGGCGGGGCAGGAGCAGGCCGCGCCGCCUUUUGAGGGCUUGGCCCCCUGUGGCCUGUGACCCUGUCGAGGCGGCAAUCACGACGUCGGAUUUGUUUCCGUACGCUGGAAGCGGGCGCUGGGCUCCCUCGGGAUGCUCGGGAAGGAGGUCGGGCCCUGCCCUCCAGUGGUCGUCGGUCUCCACCCUGCAGCCCCGCGGCGGUGUCCUCCUGUCCCCGACAGGCCCCGCCACCCUGCAGCCCCGCGCCAGGGCGCGGUGUCCCCUUGUUCUCCCCGUGUCCUGGGCGCCCGCCUCCGCCUCAACCCUACACCGCUUCCCUCGUGCAUGAGGCCCGAGCUCCUGCAGCAGGGGCCCCACAGUUGUGGUCGUAAGCGGCACCCUUGAAGGUCCCGCCACGCCCUGGCGAACCCCACCUGACCCUCAGGCUCAGCCAGCGGGUUGCCGGGGAUUCUGGCCCGAGGGGUGCACAAGGACACUGAGGGAAGCAAGGGCUCGGGUGGGGGGCCUCUCGCCUGCCCCCUCCCAACCCCCAGCAGAGACAAGGCCCAGGCGGUAUGUAGCCAAGUCCAGUCCUGCUGCAAGGAUGCAUCCGAAAGACACAACCGUGCCGAUUGUGGUGGUCAUGAUGCAGCACACACGCCAUCCUCGGUCCAUUGCAGCGGCCACCCUGUCUGGAGGAGCCCCUGGAGGCUCUGAACAGAACGUGACCGCACCUGACGUCCAGAUGAGAACAGAGAGUGGGACAAGGAGGUGAUGGUAGCAUGGAGGUGGGCACGAUGGCGGUGCUGAGCAGGUUUGUGGCCGUCGGCGUCAGGAGGGGGGGUCGCCUACCUCUGGGGGUCACCUUAAAAUUGGGGUCGACAGACCGUUUCUGUAAAAUAAAGGCUUUCAGCUCUGUGGACCUCG
Suricata suricatta (meerkat) is the source of this 1010-nucleotide long non-coding RNA. RefSeq lists it as uncharacterized. The transcript is spliced from 2 exons. The record is from RefSeq and is a predicted model, not a curated record. Lineage: Eukaryota; Metazoa; Chordata; Mammalia; Carnivora; Herpestidae.